Molecule: ribosomal RNA, 287 nt
Filed under: uncultured Basidiomycota
Lineage: Eukaryota; Fungi; Basidiomycota
Description: partial 18S ribosomal RNA
Rfam family: Eukaryotic small subunit ribosomal RNA
Source: RNAcentral
UUGGAGGGCAAGUUUGGUGCCAGCAGCCGCGGUAAUUCCAGCUCCAAUAGCGUAUAUUAAAGUUGUUGCAGUUAAAAAGCUCGUAGUUGAACUUCAGACCUGACCGGGUGGUCCGCCUAACGGUGUGUACUGUCUGGCCGGGCCUUACCUCUUGGUGAGCCGGCAUGCCCUUAAUUGGGUGUGUCGGGGAACCAGGACCUUUACCUUGAGAAAAUUAGAGUGUUCAAAGCAGGCUUACGCCGGAAUACAUUAGCAUGGAAUAAUAAAAUAGGACGUGCGGUUCUUAG